This 464-nucleotide ribosomal RNA is filed under the name uncultured bacterium. RNAcentral's name for it is "bacterial SSU rRNA". It matches the Rfam family "Bacterial small subunit ribosomal RNA", at positions 335 to 796 of the family's 1533-position model. The record is from RNAcentral.
ACUCCUACGGGAGGCAGCAGUAGGGAAUAUUGGGCAAUGCCCGCAAGGGUGACCCAGCCAUGCCGCGUGGAGGAAGACAGCCCACUGGGUUGUAAACUCCUUUUAUCAGGGAAGAAAGGUCACGAUUUAUCGUGAUUUGACGGUACCUGAGGAAUAAGCACCGGCUAACUCCGUGCCAGCAGCCGCGGUAAUACGGAGGGUGCAAGCGUUAUCCGGAAUCACUGGGUUUAAAGGGUGCGUAGGCUGGCAUAUAAGUCAGUGGUGAAAUCCCCGGGCUUAACUCGGGAACUGCCAUUGAAACUGUAUGUCUUGAGUUCAGAUGAGGUGGGCGGAAUGUGUCAAGUAGCGGUGAAAUGCAUAGAUAUGCCACAGAACACCGAUUGCGAAGGCAGCUCACUAAACUGAUACAGACGCUGAGGCACGAAAGCGUGGGUAGCGAACAGGAUUAGAAACCCCUGUAGUCC